GAUCACUAUCACUAUGUCGAGCUUUCUGCGACAAAAGUCACAGGCUCCACAAUAAAAAGUAUAUAUAGCAUUCAGAAAAUUAAUUUAUACAGAAUAACAAACAAACUUACCACGAAGUUCUUCCAAAAAUUUACAAAAAUAAAUGGGGAAUGUGUCCAUGGGACACAGAUAAUGCCCCCGCUUGCAUAUCAUAUAAAGUUAUAAAGGAACAUAACUGAAGAAUGGUAAAAGUGACACUACCCAAAUUUGUACUUGAUCUGAGUUUUGUUGCAAUAAGUAUUGUGUAUAAGUUUCAUAACAUUUGGUUGAGGCAAACGUAAGUUAGAGAACGGAAACUAAAAAUUCAGCAAUUUUUCCAUUUGUAAAGGGGCAUUACUCUAGAACAGUAAAAGUGACACCACCAAAAUUCAAACUUGAUCUGUGUUUUGUGGUAAUAAGCAUUGUGUAUAAGUUUCAUAACAUUUGGUUGAGGCUAACUUAAGUUAGAGAACAGAAACGAAAAAUUCAGCAAUUUUUCCAUUUGUAAACAGGCAUAACUCUAGAACUGUUAAAGUGACGCCACCAAAAUUCAAACUUGAUCUGUGUUUAGUGGUAAUAAGCAUUGUGUAUAAGUUUCAUAACAUUUGGCUGAGGCAAACUAAAGUUAGAGAAUGGAAACCAAUUUUGGAACGUACAGACAUACAGACGGACAAGGAUAAAACGAUAUGCCCCCUCAGCUACGAAGGGGACAUAAAAACCCUCGAAUUGAAUUUUGGACCCUUUGGACUUGAAUGUGGACCAAUUUGAAAACCUGGCCUAAAAUUAAUAAAUUGCUUCGCUGAGCGCAGCUGGAUAUGACUGCAGAGGUCCAACCCUGAACAGUUGGGGCAAAAAUGGACACAAUAUUCAAGCUUGAUUCAGGUCUGAAUUUGGAUUGUAAUUAAAUAUUUGACAUAUUAUAGGUUUCUGAAUAAAUGUAGUCAAAGAACUUGAAAUUGGUUAUAUGAAUUGAAUUUAUAUUCAAUUAAAGAUUUCUUGCUGUUGUGCAAUAGUCCCCAAUACUUAGUAAAUCUGUUGUCAGACUAUAAACAAAUAUAGUUCUAUUAAUUCUCAAUGUCAUAUUACAAAUUUAUGGAAAUAAAAAGGGAGCUUACAUCAAUAGAUAUAAACAAUUCACCAAAGUUUCAUGAGAAUUGGUGACAGCAUUUUUGAGUUAUUGUCCAUAAACUGGAAAAUCACCCCUUUUUUUAAUGAAUAAAACCCCAUAACUCAGAAAUGUAAAAUGUAAAAGUUAUAAAAUUCUAAAGGGAGCUUACAUCAAUACAUACAAACAAUUCACCAAAGUUUCAUACGAAUUACUGAAAGAAUUUUUGAGUUUUUGUCCGAAAACUGAAAAAUCCCCCCUUUUUUUAUGAAUAAAACCCUGUAACUCAGAAACGUAAAAUUUUUAAUUUAUAAAAAUCGAAAGGGAGCUCAUGUCAAAAGAUAUAAACAAUUCACCACGAUUUCUUGCAAGUUGGUGAAAGCAUUCUUGACUUAUUGUCUGAAAACUGGAAAAUCCCCCUUUUUUUAAUGAAUAAAACCCCAUAACUCGGAAACGUCAAAUCUAAAUUUUAUAAAAAACGAAAGGGAGCUCACGUCAAUAGAUAUAAACAAUUCACCAAAGUUUUAUGCAAAUUGGUUAAAGCAUUUUUGAGUUAAUGUCCGACAUGUUGACGACGGACAGACGGACGGACGGACGGACAGACGGACAACGGUAUACCAUAAUACGUCCCGUAAACGGGCGUAUAAAAAUG
This is a long non-coding RNA of Mytilus californianus (California mussel), 1775 nucleotides long. RefSeq lists it as uncharacterized. Lineage: Eukaryota; Metazoa; Mollusca; Bivalvia; Mytilida; Mytilidae. The record is from RefSeq and is a predicted model, not a curated record. The transcript has 2 exons.